This 460-nucleotide ribosomal RNA is filed under the name uncultured bacterium. RNAcentral's name for it is "partial 16S ribosomal RNA". It matches the Rfam family "Bacterial small subunit ribosomal RNA", at positions 338 to 795 of the family's 1533-position model. The record is from RNAcentral.
CCUACGGGUGGCAGCAGUGAGGAAUAUUGGUCAAUGGACGCAAGUCUGAACCAGCCAUGCCGCGUGCAGGAAGACGGCUCUAUGAGUUGUAAACUGCUUUUGUACGAGGGUAAACGCAGAUACGCGUAUCUGUCUGAAAGUAUCGUACGAAUAAGGAUCGGCUAACUCCGUGCCAGCAGCCGCGGUAAUACGGAGGAUUCAAGCGUUAUCCGGAUUUAUUGGGUUUAAAGGGUGCGUAGGCGGUCGGAUAAGUUAGAGGUGAAAUCCCGAGGCUCAACUUCGGAAUUGCCUCUGAUACUGUUCGGCGAGAGAGUAGUGGCGGUAGGCGGAAUGUAUGGGGUAGCGGUGAAAUGCUUAGAGAUCAUACAGAACACCGAUUGCGAAGGCAGCUUACCAAGCUACUUCUGACGUUGAGGCACGAAAGCGUGGGGAGCAAACAGGAUUAGAUACCCGAGUAGUC